This 74-nucleotide transfer RNA is filed under the name Thermoplasmata archaeon. RNAcentral describes it as "tRNA-Gln". It matches the Rfam family "tRNA". Rfam says of the family: Transfer RNA (tRNA) molecules are approximately 80 nucleotides in length. Their secondary structure includes four short double-helical elements and three loops (D, anti-codon, and T loops). Lineage: Archaea; Methanobacteriati; Thermoplasmatota; Thermoplasmata. The record is from RNAcentral.
AGCCCCGUGUUGUAGCUGGUCAAUCAUUCCGGUCCUUGGAACCGGAGACGGUGGUUCGAAUCCACUCGGGGCUA